ACCAAUGCUCUCCACCGUCUCUCGCUUUUCAUGAGGCACACUCCCACUCACACCAAUACAAUUCCUCCAACGAUAAUAAUAAGAAGAGAAGACAACUAGCACUCUCUCAGGGGCUCAUUAAAUGCAAGAGGAUAAAAAGCAAAAAUAAAAAAAAAGUUUUCGGGACCACCCAAUCAUCACAUGUUACCUACUCUCUCUGCUGCAAGAGAAAAGGAAAUUAAAAAAAAC
This 228-nucleotide long non-coding RNA is filed under the name Lathyrus oleraceus (garden pea). RNAcentral describes it as "Pisum sativum (pea) long non-coding RNA (PSAT_LNC025914)". The record is from RNAcentral. Lineage: Eukaryota; Viridiplantae; Streptophyta; Magnoliopsida; Fabales; Fabaceae.